Molecule: ribosomal RNA, 443 nt
Filed under: uncultured bacterium
Lineage: Bacteria
Description: partial 16S ribosomal RNA
Rfam family: Bacterial small subunit ribosomal RNA
Source: RNAcentral
CCUACGGGCGGCAGCAGUGGGGAAUAUUGGGCAAUGGGCGCAAGCCUGACCCAGCAACGCCGCGUGAAGGAAGAAGGCUUUCGGGUUGUAAACUUCUUUUGUCAGGGACGAAGCAAGUGACGGUACCUGACGAAUAAGCCACGGCUAACUACGUGCCAGCAGCCGCGGUAAUACGUAGGUGGCAAGCGUUAUCCGGAUUUAAUGGGUGAACAGGGCGUGUAGGCGGGAAUGCAAGUCAGAUGUGAAAACUAUGGGCUCAACCCAUAGACUGCAUUUGAAACUGUAUUUCUUGAGUGCUGGAGAGGCAAUCGGAAUGCCGUGUGUAGCGGUGAAAUGCGUAGAUAUACGGAGGAACACCAGUGGCGAAGGCGGAUUGCUGGACAGUAACUGACGCUGAUGCGCGAAAGCGUGGGGAGCAAACAGGAUUAGAUACCCCAGUAGUC